CCUACGGGUGGCUGCAGUGAGGAAUAUUGGUCAAUGGACGCCAGUCUGAACCAGCCAAGUAGCGUGCAGGAUGACGGCCCUCCGGGUUGUAAACUGCUUUUAGUUGGGAAUAAAAGGGGGCUCGUGAGCCCCGUAUUGUAUGUACCAUCAGAAAAAGGACCGGCUAAUUCCGUGCCAGCAGCCGCGGUAAUACGGAAGGUCCGGGCGUUAUCCGGGUUUAUUGGGUUUAAAGGGAGCGUAGGCCGGCUUUUAAGUCAGCUGUGAAAGUCCUCGGCUCAACCGUAAAAGUGCAAUUGAUACUGGCAGUCUUGAGUACAGUUGAGGUAGGCGGAAUUCGUGGUGUAGCGGUGAAAUGCUUAGAUAUCACGAAGAACUCCGAUUGCGAAGGCAGCUUACUAAACUGCCACUGACAUUGAUGCUCGAAAGUGUGGGUAUCAAACAGGAUUAGAUACCCGAGUAGUC
Molecule: ribosomal RNA, 462 nt
Filed under: uncultured bacterium
Lineage: Bacteria
Description: partial 16S ribosomal RNA
Rfam family: Bacterial small subunit ribosomal RNA
Source: RNAcentral